UAUUAUUGAGGUCGGAAAUGGUUCCUGACACACUCUUCGUGAGUACCUGAGAUGAUGGAUACACCGCUCAUCCAAUAAUA
This 80-nucleotide non-coding RNA is filed under the name unclassified sequences. Its description in RNAcentral is "skipping-rope RNA". It matches the Rfam family "skipping-rope RNA". From Rfam's summary of the family: Firmicutes, Fusobacteria, AlphaProteobacteria, Spirochaetes. Downstream gene The record is from Rfam by way of RNAcentral.